This 88-nucleotide transfer RNA is filed under the name Defluviimonas salinarum. RNAcentral's name for it is "tRNA-Ser". It matches the Rfam family "tRNA". From Rfam's summary of the family: Transfer RNA (tRNA) molecules are approximately 80 nucleotides in length. Their secondary structure includes four short double-helical elements and three loops (D, anti-codon, and T loops). Further hydrogen bonds mediate the characteristic L-shaped molecular structure. tRNAs have two regions of fundamental functional importance: the anti-codon, which is responsible for specific mRNA codon recognition, and the 3' end, to which the tRNAs corresponding amino acid is attached (by aminoacyl-tRNA synthetases). tRNAs cope with the degeneracy of the genetic code in two manners: having more than one tRNA (with a specific anti-codon) for a particular amino acid; and 'wobble' base-pairing, i.e. permitting non-standard base-pairing at the 3rd anti-codon position. The record is from RNAcentral. Lineage: Bacteria; Pseudomonadati; Pseudomonadota; Alphaproteobacteria; Rhodobacterales; Paracoccaceae.
GGAGCGGGGGCAGGAUGGUAAUGCAGCGGAUUGCUAAUCCGUAGGGCCCGCAAGGGCUCACCGGGUUCGAUUCCCGGUCGCUCCGCCA